RNAcentral lists this ribosomal RNA (335 nucleotides) under uncultured soil bacterium. RNAcentral describes it as "bacterial SSU rRNA". It matches the Rfam family "Bacterial small subunit ribosomal RNA", at positions 26 to 372 of the family's 1533-position model. The record is from RNAcentral.
AGAUUGAACGCUGGCGGCAUGCCUAACACAUGCAAGUCGAACGGGAGUAGCAAUACUCUAGUGGCGGACGGGUGAGGAAUACGUAGGAAUUUGCCCUUAAGUGGGGGAUAACCCGGGGAAACCCGGAUUAAUACCGCAUGACCUCGAAAGAGCAAAGUGGGGGAUCGCAAGACCUCACGCUUUUGGAGAAGCCUACGUCGGAUUAGCUAGUUGGUGAGGUAAUGGCUCACCAAGGCGACGAUCCGUAACUGGUCUGAGAGGAUGAUCAGUCACACCGGAACUGAGACACGGUCCGGACUCCUACGGGAGCAGCAGGUGGGGAAUGUUAGGACAAU